CAUGGAGGGUGAGAAUCCCGUCCGGUUGACCUUAGGAUGUUCUACGUUACGCUAUCUAAGAGUCGAGUUGUUUGGGAUUGCAGCUCAAAAUGGGAGGUAAAUUUCUCCUAAGGCUAAAUACAGGCGAGAGACCGAUAGCGAACAAGUACCGUGAGGGAAAGAUGAAAAGAACUUUGAAAAGAGAGUUAAACAGUACGUGAAAUUGUUGAAAGGGAAACGAUUGAAGCCAGUCGUACUGACGGGAAAUCAACUUCUCGAGUGCUUGCCGUAGAUGACGUUGAGCUUCACGGCCUUCGUUGCUUACGUUAUGGUGCUUUUGAGGUGUACUUUUCCGUAUGGUAGGUCAACAUCGAUUUUGAUCGUCAUAAAAUGAUCGGAGGAAUGUGGCUCUGAUCUCGUAUCGGAGUGUUAUAGCCUUUGGUAGAUAUGAUGAUCGGGAUCGAGGAUUGCAACGAAUACCCUUUGGGCUAUCCGUCUGACCUCUGAAAGUCGCUCGGGUGUUGAAAGCGUGCUUAUAACAUUCUAGUUGGCGGUCAAAAGGUUAGAACGUGAUUACAUUCGUUAAGGAUGUUGACGUAAUGG
This 582-nucleotide ribosomal RNA is filed under the name uncultured Glomeromycotina. Its description in RNAcentral is "LSU rRNA". It matches the Rfam family "Eukaryotic large subunit ribosomal RNA", at positions 204 to 637 of the family's 3401-position model. Lineage: Eukaryota; Fungi; Glomeromycota. The record is from RNAcentral.